Molecule: ribosomal RNA, 382 nt
Filed under: uncultured bacterium
Lineage: Bacteria
Description: bacterial SSU rRNA
Rfam family: Bacterial small subunit ribosomal RNA
Source: RNAcentral
AUUGAACGCUGGCGGCAUGCUUUACACAUGCAAGUCGAACGGUAACAGGCCGCAAGGUGCUGACGAGUGGCGAACGGGUGAGUAAUGCAUCGGAACGUGCCCAGUCGUGGGGGAUAACGCAGCGAAAGCUGCGCUAAUACCGCAUACGAUCUAUGGAUGAAAGCGGGGGACCGUAAGGCCUCGCGCGAUUGGAGCGGCCGAUGUCAGAUUAGGUAGUUGGUGGGGGUAAAAGGCUCACCAAGCCAACGAUCUGUAGCUGGUCUGAGAGGACGACCAGCCACACUGGGACUGAGACACGGCCCAGACUCCUACGGGAGGCAGCAGUGGGGAAUUUUGGACAAUGGGCGCAAGCCUGAUCCAGCAAUGCCGCGUGCAGGAAGAA